Molecule: transfer RNA, 49 nt
Filed under: Oribatula sp. XFX
Lineage: Eukaryota; Metazoa; Arthropoda; Arachnida; Sarcoptiformes; Oribatulidae
Description: tRNA-Pro
Source: RNAcentral
UUUAGGACAGUCAUAGAGAUUGCAAUUUUGGAGAUUGUAGAUUUUAAAC